AUUGAACGCUGGCGGCAGGCCUAACACAUGCAAGUCGAGCGGAUGAAGGGAGCUUGCUCCUGGAUUCAGCGGCGGACGGGUGAGUAAUGCCUAGGAAUCUGCCUGGUAGUGGGGGAUAACGUCCGGAAACGGGCGCUAAUACCGCAUACGUCCUGAGGGAGAAAGUGGGGGAUCUUCGGACCUCACGCUAUCAGAUGAGCCUAGGUCGGAUUAGCUAGUUGGUGGGGUAAAGGCCUACCAAGGCGACGAUCCGUAACUGGUCUGAGAGGAUGAUCAGUCACACGGGAACUGAGACACGGUCCAGACUCCUACGGGAGGCAGCAGAGGGGAAUAUUGGACAAUGGGCGAAAGCCUGAUCCAGCCAUGCCGCGUGUGUGAAGAAGGUCUUCGGAUUGUAAAGCACUUUAAGUUGGGAGGAAGGGCAGUAAGUUGAUACGUUGCUGUAUUGACGUUACCAACAGAAUAAGCACCGGCUAACUACGUG
Molecule: ribosomal RNA, 484 nt
Filed under: uncultured bacterium
Lineage: Bacteria
Description: partial 16S ribosomal RNA
Rfam family: Bacterial small subunit ribosomal RNA
Source: RNAcentral